Molecule: transfer RNA, 70 nt
Filed under: Genetta servalina
Lineage: Eukaryota; Metazoa; Chordata; Mammalia; Carnivora; Viverridae
Description: tRNA-Thr
Source: RNAcentral
GUCUUUGUAGUAUAUAAAAUACCUUGGUCUUGUAAACCAAAAAAGGAGAGCACUAACCCUCCCUAAGACU